AGAGUUUGAUCCUGGCUCAGAUUGAACGCUGGCGGCAUGCCUAACACAUGCAAGUCGAACGCGAAAGUCCUCUUCGGAGGGCGAGUAGAGUGGCGGACGGGUGAGUAAUACUUGGGAAUCUACCCAACAGUGAGGAAUAACCCGGGGAAACUCGGGCUAAUACCGCAUAAGUUCCACGGAAGAAAGGGGGCCUCUUUAUAAAAGCUCCCGCUGAUGGAUGAGCCCAAGUCGGAUUAGCUGGUUCGUGAGGUAAUAGCUCACGAAGGCAACGAUCCGKAGCUGGUCUGAGAGGAUGAUCAGCCACACUGGGACUGAGACACGGCCCAGACUCCUACGGGAGGCAGCAGUGGGGAAUAUUGGACAAUGGGCGAAAGCCUGAUCCAGCAAUGCCGCGUGUGUGAAGAAGGCCUGCGGGUUGUAAAGCACUUUCAGCAGGGAAGAAACGCCGGGGACUAAUACUCCCUCGGUACUGACGUUACCUGCACAAGAAGCACCGGCUAACUCCGUGCCAGCAGCCGCGGUAAUACGGAGGGUGCGAGCGUUAAUCGGAAUUACUGGGCGUAAAGCGCGCGUAGGCGGUUGAGUAAGUCAGAUGUGAAAUCCCCGGGCUUAACCUGGGAAUUGCAUUUGAUACUACCCGACUAGAGUAUGGGAGAGGGAAGUGGAAUCUCCGGUGUAGCGGUGAAAUGCGUAGAGAUCGGAGGGAACACCAGUGGCGAAAGCGGCUUCCUGGCCCAAUACUGACGCUCAGGCGCGAAAGCGUGGGGAGCAAACAGGAUUAGAUACCCUGGUAGUCCACGCCGUARACGAUGAGAACUUGAUGUCGGGAGGGUUUGCCUCUCGGUGUCGAAGCUAACGCGUUAAGUUCUCCGCCUGGGGAGUACGGCCGCAAGGUUGAAACUCAAGGAAUUGACGGGACCCGCACAAGCGGUGAGCAUGUGUUUAAUUCGAUGCACGCGAAGAACCUUACCCGCCUUGACAUCCUUGGAAUCUCCCAGAGAUGGGAGAGUGCCUUCGGGAUCCGGGUGACAGGUGCUGCAUGGCUGUCGUCAGCUAGUGUCCUGGAAUGUUGGCUUG
RNAcentral lists this ribosomal RNA (1077 nucleotides) under uncultured bacterium. RNAcentral's name for it is "bacterial SSU rRNA". It matches the Rfam family "Bacterial small subunit ribosomal RNA", at positions 8 to 1082 of the family's 1533-position model. The record is from RNAcentral.